GGUGGUUCUUGGUGACACACCCUGGAAUCGGACUCCCUCCUGUCUGGUUCCAGCGCAUCACCCGAGAACCGCA
Myotis brandtii (Brandt's bat) is the source of this 73-nucleotide non-coding RNA. The record is from Rfam. NCBI's taxonomy places the organism in Eukaryota, Metazoa, Chordata, Mammalia, Chiroptera, Vespertilionidae.